UAUUUCAGAGAGUUGACCA
This 19-nucleotide non-coding RNA is filed under the name Mus musculus (house mouse). Lineage: Eukaryota; Metazoa; Chordata; Mammalia; Rodentia; Muridae. The record is from RNAcentral.